This 254-nucleotide ribosomal RNA is filed under the name uncultured bacterium. RNAcentral's name for it is "partial 16S ribosomal RNA". It matches the Rfam family "Bacterial small subunit ribosomal RNA", at positions 524 to 776 of the family's 1533-position model. The record is from RNAcentral.
UACGGGGGGGGGCAAGCGUUGUUCGGAAUUACUGGGCGUAAAGGGUUCGUAGGUGGCCUGCUAAGUCAGACGUGAAAUCCCUCAGCUUAACUGGGGAACUGCGUCUGAGACUGGUGGGCUUGAGUGCAGGAGAGGAACGCGGAAUUCCAGGUGUAGCGGUGAAAUGCGUAGAUAUCUGGAGGAACACCGGUGGCGAAGGCGGCGUUCUGGACUGUUACUGACACUGAUGAACGAAAGCCAGGGGAGCAAACGGG